CCCCUGUGAGGGGAGUGAAAUAGAACCUGAAACCGUGUACGUACAAGCAGUAGGAGCAGGCUUUGUCCUGUGACUGCGUACCUUUUGUAUAAUGGGUCAGCGACUUAUAUUCAGUGGCAAGGUUAACCAUCUAGGGGAGCCGUAGGGAAACCGAGUCUUAACUGGGCGUUCAGUCUCUGGAUAUAGACCCGAAACCAGGUGAUCUAGCCAUGGGCAGGUUGAAGGUUGAGUAACAUCAACUGGAGGACCGAACCGACUAAUGUUGAAAAAUUAGCGGAUGACUUGUGGCUAGGGGUGAAAGGCCAAUCAAACCUGGAGAUAGCUGGUUCUCCCCGAAAGCUAUUUAGGUAGCGCCUCGGACGAAUACUACUGGGGGUAGAGCACUGUUAAGGCUAGGGGGUCAUCCCGACUUACCAACCCUUUGCAAACUCCGAAUACCAGUAAGUA
RNAcentral lists this ribosomal RNA (447 nucleotides) under Vibrio parahaemolyticus. RNAcentral's name for it is "partial 23S ribosomal RNA". It matches the Rfam family "Bacterial large subunit ribosomal RNA", at positions 524 to 971 of the family's 2925-position model. Lineage: Bacteria; Pseudomonadati; Pseudomonadota; Gammaproteobacteria; Vibrionales; Vibrionaceae. The record is from RNAcentral.